This 441-nucleotide ribosomal RNA is filed under the name uncultured soil bacterium. Its description in RNAcentral is "bacterial SSU rRNA". It matches the Rfam family "Bacterial small subunit ribosomal RNA", at positions 26 to 517 of the family's 1533-position model. The record is from RNAcentral.
AGAACGAACGCUGGCGGCAUGCCUAAUACAUGCAAGUCGAACGAACUCUUCGGAGUUAGUGGCGCACGGGUGCGUAACGCGUGGGAAUCUGCCCCUUGGUUCGGAAUAACAGUUGGAAACGACUGCUAAUACCGGAUGAUGACGAAAGUCCAAAGAUUUAUCGCCAAGGGAUGAGCCCGCGUAGGAUUAGCUAGUUGGUGAGGUAAAGGCUCACCAAGGCAACGAUCCUUAGCUGGUCUGAGAGGAUGAUCAGCCACACUGGGACUGAGACACGGCCCAGACUCCUACGGGAGCAGCAGUAGGAAUAUGGACAAUGGGCGAAAGCCUGAUCCAGCAAUGCCGCGUGAGUGAUGAAGGCCUUAGGGUUGUAAAGCUCUUUACCGAGAUGAUAAUGACAGUAGUAGGAGAAUAACGCCCGGACUAACUCCGUGCCAGACACGU